UGCGCAGGCGGUUCGCUAAGACCGAUGUGAAAUCCCCGGGCUUAACCUGGGAACUGCAUUGGUGACUGGCGGGCUAGAGUAUGGCAGAGGGGGGUAGAAUUCCACGUGUAGCAGUGAAAUGCGUAGAGAUGUGGAGGAAUACCGAUGGCGAAGGCAGCCCCCUGGGCCAAUACUGACGCUCAUGCACGAAAGCGUGGGGAGCAAACA
Molecule: ribosomal RNA, 207 nt
Filed under: uncultured bacterium
Lineage: Bacteria
Description: partial 16S ribosomal RNA
Rfam family: Bacterial small subunit ribosomal RNA
Source: RNAcentral